AUUGAACGCUGGCGGCAGGCCUAACACAUGCAAGUCGAACGGUAACAGGAAGAAGCUUGCUUCUUUGCUGACGAGUGGCGGACGGGUGAGUAAUGUCUGGGAAACUGCCUGAUGGAGGGGGAUAACUACUGGAAACGGUAGCUAAUACCGCAUAACGUCUCAAGACCAAAAAGGGGGACCUUCGGGCCUCUUGCCAUCGGAUGUGCCCAGAUGGGAUUAGCUAGUAGGUGGGGUAACGGCUCACCUAGGCGACGAUCCCUAGCUGGUAUGAGAGGAUGACCAGCCACACUGGCACUGAGGCACGGUCCAGACUCCUGCGGGAGGCAGCAGUGGGGAAUAUUGCACAAAGGGGGCAAGCCUGAUGCAGCCAUGCCGCGUGUAUGAAGAAGGCCUUCGGGUUGUAAAGUACUUUCAGCGGGGAGGAAGGGAGUAAAGUUAAUACCUUUGCUCAUUGACGUUACCCGCAGAAGAAGCACCGGCUAACUCCGUG
This 490-nucleotide ribosomal RNA is filed under the name uncultured bacterium. Its description in RNAcentral is "partial 16S ribosomal RNA". It matches the Rfam family "Bacterial small subunit ribosomal RNA", at positions 30 to 507 of the family's 1533-position model. The record is from RNAcentral.